GAGUUUGAUCAUGGCUCAGAAUCAACGCUGGCGGCGUGCCUAACACAUGCAAGUCGAGCGAGAAAGGGAUUUCGGUCCUGAGUAUAGUGGCGCACGGGUGAGUAACACGUGAAUAAUCUACCUCCGAGUGGGGAAUAACCAAGAGAAAUCUUGGCUAAUACCGCAUAACACUUACGAAUCAAAGCAGCAAUGCGCUUGGAGAGGAGUUCGCGGCAGAUUAGUUAGUUGGCGGGGUAGUGGCCCACCGAAGACGAUGAUCUGUAUCCGGCCUGAGAGGGCGCACGGACACACUGGAACUGAAACACGGUCCAGACUCCUACGGGAGGCAGCAGUGGGGAAUUUGCGCAAUGGGGGAAACCCUGACGCAGCAACGCCGCGUGGAGGAUGAAGUAUCUUGGUACGUAAACUCCUUUCGAUGGGGAAGAUAAUGACGGUACCCAUAGAAGAA
Molecule: ribosomal RNA, 448 nt
Filed under: uncultured bacterium
Lineage: Bacteria
Description: bacterial SSU rRNA
Rfam family: Bacterial small subunit ribosomal RNA
Source: RNAcentral